This 416-nucleotide ribosomal RNA is filed under the name uncultured bacterium. Its description in RNAcentral is "bacterial SSU rRNA". It matches the Rfam family "Bacterial small subunit ribosomal RNA", at positions 29 to 449 of the family's 1533-position model. The record is from RNAcentral.
AUUGAACGCUGGCGGCAUGCUUUACACAUGCAAGUCGAACGGUAACAGGCCUUCGGGUGCUGACGAGUGGCGAACGGGUGAGUAAUGCAUCGGAACGUGCCCAAUCGUGGGGGAUAACGUAGCGAAAGUUACGCUAAUACCGCAUAAGCCCUGAGGGGGAAAGCAGGGGAUCGCAAGACCUUGCGCGAAUGGAGCGGCCGAUGUCAGAUUAGCUAGUUGGUGGGGUAAAGGCCUACCAAGGCGACGAUCUGUAGCGGGUCUGAGAGGAUGAUCCGCCACACUGGGACUGAGACACGGCCCAGACUCCUACGGGAGGCAGCAGUGGGGAAUUUUGGACAAUGGGCGCAAGCCUGAUCCAGCCAUGCCGCGUGCGGGACGAAGGCCUCGGGUUGUAAACCGCUUUCAGCCGGAAGAAA